Long non-coding RNA from Oncorhynchus gorbuscha (pink salmon), 2605 nucleotides. RefSeq lists it as uncharacterized. Lineage: Eukaryota; Metazoa; Chordata; Actinopteri; Salmoniformes; Salmonidae. The transcript has 6 exons. The record is from RefSeq and is a predicted model, not a curated record.
UGUGUUGAGAAAGUAUUUUCGAAUAAAUUGAAUUUUUACAUUUCAGUGAAAAUAGUCCGGCUAUAUAAAAGCGCUUGUCCUCCUCCACGUAGAUCUUUCCGGUCGCAUGUUGAAGUUGGAGAAGGAUCAUGUCUAGCCACUCUCCUGAUUACAGCAGGCUGCAAUGUCAUCACCCAAGCACGGGCAAGACUGCCAUGUUUUCCAUCUUUAUCCUGCAGAAUUGGACCCAAGCUCUGGUGCUGGCCCCCACCACAGAGCUGGCUCAGCAGGUAUGCUGUGCCUGAGGUCUGGAUUAACAUCAGACCGAGGCGGCAUAUUUGGACAACUAAAAAGGUAUAUUUUUCCGUAAUUCUUCCUGCAAAAUCACUUGGGUUAAAGGUGGUGACGAUCUCUUUUGGGAUUAUUGUUGUCAAUGACUGCAUUAAUCUGAAAGUUGGCCUGACUACUCAGCAAGGGAUUUCUGUUCUGUAACAAGUGAGUGAAAUGAUGGCAUUUCAUCUUUCGGGACAGACCUGAUAAUGGUGACAACCUCUUAUACUGAUCACUCAAGACCGUUUGUCCUGUAUAAUACAUUGGCGCCAAGAGCAAAUCACCAUGAAGUUCUUGUUUUGUCUGUUUUCUUAGAUCCUAAGUUAGGCACUAAUGUCCGCAAAGAGAUGCAGAAGCUGCAGACUGGGUCCCCCUGCAUAGUGGUACGAACUCCAGGCUGGAUGUUUGAUGCUUAACGGGUGACGUCUGUAAGUACUCAUCAGUGAAAGUAUCUGCUAUCUGACUGGCUUGUAUUCAAAUGAAAUUGUAUUUGUCACAUGCACCAAAUACAACAGGUAUAGAUCAACAUUACUGUGAAAUGUGUGAUUAUAAGCUUUUAGACAAAAAUGCAGAGUUCAGAAAAUAUAUGUAUAUGUUUCUAUUUUAUAUGCUUCAGAUUUCUUAGUUUGGCUUGACCAUGGUGCAGAUUUUAAGUUGUGCCCAUUUUACUUGUAAAUAUAUAUAUUGAUUUCUGGAUUAAAUUCUAGAGGCUUGUCUCAUCCCCAGCCACCCCCACUUCCAUAUAAAAGAACUGUGCUAAAAUUGCAGAAUCCAGGUAACCCUUGGUUUAGGCAAUAAUGCUAGCAGAGUAUAGUGUGGAAGGAGAGCAUUUUGCACUGUGCCGGAAAAGAGUUGUGGUCGAACCUCUUUCUUAAUGUUCGUUGACCUCAUGUCUCGAGGCCCAGUACAACAAUUAGUCUGAUUUAAGAUUAGUUCAUUUCCUCCCAUUGUGAUUUUUACUGGUUUCUUUAAAUGCUGCGCAGGUGGUCCUCCUCUCCUGUCAGCCACCAUGCCUACUGAUGUGCUGGGGGUGACCAAGAAGUUCAUGGGAGAGCCCAUUGGCAUUCUGGUGAAAUAAAAGGAAUUUCCCUAGAGGGUAUUAAGCAGUUCUACAUCAAUGUAGAGAGGAGUGGAAGUUGGACACAUUGUGCAACCUGUACGGGAUGCCAACAGUCACUCCGACAGGCAUCUUCCUCAACACCAGGAGGAUCUGCUGGCUGACUGAGAAGAUUCACUCAAGGGGCUUCACGAUCUCUGCUCUGCAUGGCGGCAUGGACCAGAAGGAGAGGGAUGUCAUCACCAGGGAGUUCAGGUCUGGCUCCAGCAGGGUACUCAUCGCUACGGACUUAUUGGCUCGGAAUUGAUGUGCAGCAGGUUCCUUGGUCACCUUCCUACAAAGAGGGAGAAUAAUAUUUGCAGAAUUGGUCGUGGUGGCUGUUUUGGCAGGAAAGGUGUGGCUGUAAACUGGGCGAGGAGGAGAAGUGUGUUCUUCGGGACAUCAAGACGUUUCGCUAUAACAGUGGAUGAGAUGCCUUUGAAUGUGGCUGACCUGAUUUGAACCUGGGUGUUGAGGAUGAAUAUUGCUAGCGGUCUUACACUCAUUGUGUUCAUUUGCGCAUUGUGGUAAGUUUGCCCAUCUUGAAUCAGACUUCUGAUAUUUGUAAGAUAUGGUGGUCUCAUGGACAGGUUAGACUCAACAACUAAUAUAAUAAUAAUAUGCCAUUUAGCAGACACUUUUAUCCAAAGCGACUUACAGUCAUGUGUGCAUACAUUCUAUGUAUGGGUGGUCCCGGGGAUCGAACCCACUACCCUGGCGUUACAAACGCCAUGCUCUACCAACUGAGCUACAGAAGGACAACUGUCCAUGAGACCAAGUCUGAUUCAAGAUAGGCCAACGUACCUCAAUGCUCUGGGCACUUUGGACACAGCAGAGCUUCUCACAAUGGAGUGAGUCCUUACGACUACUACACCUGGUUAUCAGCGGAGCCUUGUCUGACAGCAACCAUUAUAUCAGCCUCAUAUUCUACCUUUUAAUAAAACAAAAUUAAACAUGGCUGAAAAUGUGUUUUAUACUGACAAUUGUUAAUACUGUGGCAUAAGGGGACAAGUGGAAAAGAGACUAUGGUUAAUAUCUGUACUUUCUGUAUUUUGCCAACUUCCCAUUCCUAAAGAUGUUUUAUUUUACUCCACACAUUUUCCCUGCCACUCAAUGCGUUUCAUUUUGAAUGCUUAGCAGGCCAUGCAAAUUGUAUAAUUCACACACUUAUCAAGAGAUCAUCCAUGGUCAUCCCUACUG